AUGUUUGCGGCCCAGUGGCUGCGUGCUGAGCUCGUAUGGCCCCCGUCGUGUCUUUCAGGGAGCCGUGCUGCCCAGGUUGGCCCCAAGGCAGUCUCAGGAUCCCAGGUCCCUGUGGGCAAUGCAUGGGUAAGCCGGCCACCGAUUCCCGAGAGGAAUGCGACUCCUCGGGGACCGACUGUCGUCCACAUUCCAAGGCAGCUAGCGUCCCGGAGAGAGUUCCCUCAGAACGAGCGCGAUCGGCGCAGUGGUGGUCCAAGCGGAGCGCAGCUUGCCCUGUGCCGCAACUCGUGUGCUCCGUGGCCCCCUGUUCUCCGAGAUGGCCCUGUGGGAGCCGUGCUGCCCAGGCUGGCCCCAAGGCAGUCAGGAUCCCAGAUAAGGACUACUGAGAAAGAGUUUCCUUUGGUAUUUUUCCACCAAGGCAAAUGUUACCACCCAGCCAUGUUUUAGUAAAUCCAAUUGGUCUUCUGUUCCUUUGAACAAUGAGUUAUGGAUGCUAUUCUG
RNAcentral lists this long non-coding RNA (501 nucleotides) under Microcebus murinus (gray mouse lemur). RNAcentral's name for it is "lncRNA (ENSMICG00000048211.1)". Lineage: Eukaryota; Metazoa; Chordata; Mammalia; Primates; Cheirogaleidae. The record is from RNAcentral.